AGUGAACGCUGGCGGCAGGCCUAACACAUGCAAGUCGAACGGCAGCACAAGAGAGCUUGCUCUCUGGGUGGCGAGUGGCGGACGGGUGAGGAAUGCAUCGGAAUCUGCCCAUUUGUGGGGGAUAACCUCGGGAAACCGGGACUAAUACCGCAUACGACCUACGGGUGAAAGCAGGGGAUCUUAGGACCUUGCGCCGAUGGAUGAGCCGAUGCCGGAUUAGCUAGUUGGAGGGGUAAAGGCCCACCAAGGCGACGAUCCGUAGCUGGUCUGAGAGGAUGAUCAGCCACACUGGGACUGAGACGCGGCCCAGACUCCUACGGGAGGCAGCAGUGGGGAAUAUUGGACAAUGGGCGCAAGCCUGAUCCAGCCAUGCCGCGUGUGUGAAGAAGGCCUUCGGGUUGUAAAGCACUUUUGUUGGGAAAGAAAAGCAGCCGGUUAAUACCCGGUUGUCAUGACGGUACCCAAAGAAUAAGCACCGGCUAACUUCGUG
Molecule: ribosomal RNA, 490 nt
Filed under: uncultured bacterium
Lineage: Bacteria
Description: partial 16S ribosomal RNA
Rfam family: Bacterial small subunit ribosomal RNA
Source: RNAcentral